UGGGUUGUGGCUCAGUGGUAGAGCACUCACCUAGCACAUGCGAGGCCCUGGGUUCAAUACUCAGCACCACAU
RNAcentral lists this transfer RNA (72 nucleotides) under Ictidomys tridecemlineatus (thirteen-lined ground squirrel). RNAcentral describes it as "Spermophilus tridecemlineatus (thirteen-lined ground squirrel) tRNA". It matches the Rfam family "tRNA". Rfam says of the family: Transfer RNA (tRNA) molecules are approximately 80 nucleotides in length. Their secondary structure includes four short double-helical elements and three loops (D, anti-codon, and T loops). Lineage: Eukaryota; Metazoa; Chordata; Mammalia; Rodentia; Sciuridae. The record is from Rfam by way of RNAcentral.